UACGUAGGGGGCAAGCGUUGUCCGGAAUCAUUGGGCGUAAAGAGCGUGUAGGCGGCCCGAUAAGUCCGCUGUGAAAGUCCAGGGCUCAACCCUGGAAUGCCAGUGGAAACUGUCGGGCUGGAGUCCGGAAGAGGAGAGUGGAAUUCCUGGUGUAGCGGUGAAAUGCGCAGAUAUCAGGAAGAACACCCGUGGCGAAGGCGGCUCUCUGGGACGGUACUGACGCUGAGACGCGAAAGCGUGGGGAGCGAACAGG
Molecule: ribosomal RNA, 253 nt
Filed under: uncultured bacterium
Lineage: Bacteria
Description: partial 16S ribosomal RNA
Rfam family: Bacterial small subunit ribosomal RNA
Source: RNAcentral